Molecule: ribosomal RNA, 30 nt
Filed under: Streptopharagus greenbergi
Lineage: Eukaryota; Metazoa; Nematoda; Chromadorea; Rhabditida; Spirocercidae
Description: partial 18S ribosomal RNA
Source: RNAcentral
GUUUCCGUAGGUGAACCUGCGUGAAGGAUC